RNAcentral lists this ribosomal RNA (492 nucleotides) under uncultured bacterium. Its description in RNAcentral is "partial 16S ribosomal RNA". It matches the Rfam family "Bacterial small subunit ribosomal RNA", at positions 29 to 507 of the family's 1533-position model. The record is from RNAcentral.
AGUGAACGCUGGCGGUAGGCCUAACACAUGCAAGUCGAACGGCAGCACAGUAAGAGCUUGCUCUUACGGGUGGCGAGUGGCGGACGGGUGAGGAAUAUAUCGGAAUCUACUUUUUCGUGGGGGAUAACGUAGGGAAACUUACGCUAAUACCGCAUACGCCCUACGGGUGAAAGCAGUGGAUCUUCGGACCUUGCGCGAUUGAAUGAGCCGAUGUCGGAUUAGCUAGUUGGCGGGGUAAAGGCCCACCAAGGCGAGGAUCCGUAGCUGGUCUGAGAGGAUGGUCGGCCACACUGGAACUGAGACACGGUCCAGGCUCCUACGGGAGGCCGCAGUGGGGAAUGUUGGACAGAGGGCGCAAGCCUGAUCCAGCCAUACCGCGUGGGUGAAGAAGGCCUUCGGGUUGUAAAGCCCUUUUGUUGGGAAAGAAAAGCAGCAGGUUAAUACCCCGCUGUUCUGACGGUACCCAAAGAAUAAGCACCGGCUAACUUCGUG